CCUACGGGCGGCUGCAGUGGGGAAUAUUGCACAAUGGGCGCAAGCCUGAUGCAGCCAUGCCGCGUGUGUGAAGAAGGCCUUCGGGUUGUAAAGCACUUUCAGCGGGGAGGAAGGCGGUGAGGUUAAUAACCUCAUCGAUUGACGUUACCCGCAGAAGAAGCACCGGCUAACUCCGUGCCAGCAGCCGCGGUAAUACGGAGGGUGCAAGCGUUAAUCGGAAUUACUGGGCGUAAAGCGCACGCAGGCGGUCUGUCAAGUCGGAUGUGAAAUCCCCGGGCUCAACCUGGGAACUGCAUUCGAAACCGGCAGGCUAGAGUCUUGUAGAGGGGGGUAGAAUUCCAGGUGUAGCGGGGAAAUGCGUAGAGAUCUGGAGGAAUACCGGUGGCGAAGGCGGCCCCCUGGACAAAGACUGACGCUCAGGUGCGAAAGCGUGGGGAGCAAACAGGAUUAGAUACCCGAGUAGUC
RNAcentral lists this ribosomal RNA (465 nucleotides) under uncultured Klebsiella sp. RNAcentral describes it as "bacterial SSU rRNA". It matches the Rfam family "Bacterial small subunit ribosomal RNA", at positions 338 to 795 of the family's 1533-position model. The record is from RNAcentral. Lineage: Bacteria; Pseudomonadati; Pseudomonadota; Gammaproteobacteria; Enterobacterales; Enterobacteriaceae.